GAUGAACGCUGGCGGCGUGCCUAAUACAUGCAAGUCGAGCGGACGGACGAGAAGCUUGCUUCUCUGAUGUUAGCGGCGGACGGGUGAGUAACACGUGGAUCACCUACCUAUAAGACUGGGAUAACUUCGGGAAACCGUAGCUAAUACCGGAUAAUAUUUUGAACCGCAUGGUUCAAAAGUGAGAGACGGUCUUGCUGUCACUUAUAGAUGGAUCCGCGCUGCAUUAGCUAGUUGGUAGGUUAACGGCUUACCAAGGCAACGAUGCAUAGCCGAGCUGAGAGCGGGUUCCGGGACUGUGGAGCUGACACGCGGCCCUGGCACUGAGGGACGGCCGCGGCAGCGACGCGACGGCAAAGGGCGGAAGCUUGCACGAGCGACGGAGCGUGGGUGAUGAAGCGCUGCGUGUCGGAAAACUCUGUUAUGGGGGAAAACCACUUGCGCAAGUAACGGUGCGUAUCUUGCCGGUACGUAUACAGAAAGACCCGGCUACCUCCUG
This 496-nucleotide ribosomal RNA is filed under the name uncultured bacterium. RNAcentral's name for it is "partial 16S ribosomal RNA". It matches the Rfam family "Bacterial small subunit ribosomal RNA", at positions 28 to 506 of the family's 1533-position model. The record is from RNAcentral.